Molecule: long non-coding RNA, 664 nt
Organism: Nerophis ophidion (straightnose pipefish)
Lineage: Eukaryota; Metazoa; Chordata; Actinopteri; Syngnathiformes; Syngnathidae
Exons: 4
Source: RefSeq, a predicted model, not a curated record
CAAUUUUGCAUCGCUGGUAGGAAAGCAAAAUAACAUUUAUCAACUCUCAAAUGUUCAUUAAAAUAUAAGGUAGUGGACUUAUUUAUCUUAUCAUGCUGUCAUUUUUAAAGCAUUGCUAGUCCUACAAAUACAGAUUGUUUAGCCAAAAGUGAGCAGCACACCUGCUAGAAUUAGAUAAUUAAUGAAAGCUAAUAAUUGAACAAAUGAAAGAUUUUCAAUAUUUUUUCGACCAUUGAAGGGGAGGACAAGACAGAAAGACAUUGAAACCAAGCUCUAAUGAUGCCAUCCUGCCACCUACUGGACUAGAGGGUAUUAAAACAACUACAGCAUCCCUGACCUGCUCCUAACUAAAUGGAAGACGUGGAAGAAGAAGGAAACAACAAGCUUCAUUAACCCUAACCCAAACCUAACCUAUCUCAUAACCCUGGAGGGUUGCUCUGGCACCACAGACGGUCUGUUGACCAGCCCUCUCCAUCCUUCUCUGUCCUCAGCAGCUCUCAUUGCCUCAGUGAGUUUCAAGAUGGUUUUUGCAAGUCCUGAGGAUCUGGUGAUGUGCCCAUACCACACCAGUUCCCGCUUUAUGACCAUGGUGAGCAGGUCAUCAUGUGGGCCGACGGCUUGGCUGACCUUUAGCCGGACUUCUUCGUUUGUGACAUGUUGGGUG